This 244-nucleotide long non-coding RNA is filed under the name Mytilus galloprovincialis (Mediterranean mussel). The record is from RNAcentral. Lineage: Eukaryota; Metazoa; Mollusca; Bivalvia; Mytilida; Mytilidae.
GUCGUAUUUAGUGAUGUCCCAAUCGAGGAAGAGACGACAGAUAUGAGGCUGCGGCAAGUGGAGCAUAUCCGUUGUCAUCUUUGAUUUAUAUAUUCCAUAAUGCACAACUAAAUUAUAAACUUCAAAGAGAUUACUUCAAGUUUACCAUUGACCAUUAAGAGAUCUUGAUACAACUACCCCUGUUAACUACAAUCCCAAAUUAAGGAAACCGCAAUAUAUGAAUUUUCUGGCAGAUAUUUAUUUC